RNAcentral lists this ribosomal RNA (490 nucleotides) under uncultured bacterium. RNAcentral describes it as "partial 16S ribosomal RNA". It matches the Rfam family "Bacterial small subunit ribosomal RNA", at positions 30 to 507 of the family's 1533-position model. The record is from RNAcentral.
AUUGAACGCUGGCGGCAGGCCUAACACAUGCCAGUCGAACGGCAACAGGAAGAAGCUUGCUUCUUUGCUGACGAGUGGCGGACGGGUGAGUAAUGUCUGGGAAACUGCCUGAUGGAGGGGGAUCACUACUGGAAACGGUAUCUAAUACCGCAUAACGUUGCACGACCAAAGAGGGGGACCUUCGGGCCUCUUGCCAUCGGAUGUGCACAGAUGGGAUUAGCUAGUAGGUGGGGUAACGGCUCACCUAGGCGACGAUCCCUAGCUGGUCUGAGAGGAUGACCAGCCACACUGGAACUGAGACACGGUCCAGACUCCUACGGGAGGCAGCAGUGGGGAAUAUUGCACAAUGGGCGCAAGCCUGAUGGAGCCAUGCCGCGUGUAUGAAGAAGGCCUUCGGAUUGUAAAGUACUUUCAGCGGGGAGGAAGAGAGGUAAGUUAAUACCUUUGCUCAUUGACGUUACCCGCAGAAAAAGCACCGGCUAACUCCGUG